Molecule: RNA transcript, 1799 nt
Organism: Arachis duranensis
Lineage: Eukaryota; Viridiplantae; Streptophyta; Magnoliopsida; Fabales; Fabaceae
Exons: 8
Source: RefSeq, a predicted model, not a curated record
CUAUCGAGCUCCAUUCACACUCCUGACCUAUGAACUCAUUUUCACCCUCAUCCCUCUUCAAAGUUGUCGUCCAACUCUUCUCCUCCGGUAGAAGGUGUUGUCGCCGCCGGCGAGGACAGUCGGUGGGUGCCUUCGUCAUCUGGGGAAGCUCCACUCGACCCUCUUCACAUUGUUCCUCCUAUCCUCGCCGUCGAACGAAGUUUUGAGUUGAGCUCGUGGCGUCGCCGUCGCGAAGGGUUCCUCCCCUCCUCGCCGUGCGUCGUUUCUGAUUCACUGCUCCUCGCCGUUUUUGGCUGUUGCCCCUUCUCUUCUCUGAUUUUAGAUUUCGUGACUGUUAAUUUCAAAUUCCGUGACUCGUGAGGAUGACACUGUUGAUGAUGAAGUCAUGGAAGUAGCUUUGGACAGGAAAUUGGAGCAACAAAUUUGCAAUGCCAUAGAUACUCGCUUCCAUCUACAAUUGACAAAUAUAUUAUUUAGAGAUAUUUCAUCUGUCAAAUAGUUCCUGGAGGAUACAUUUUGAUGCAGAAACAAAAUUUGGGAAAGGAUUCUUCCUCUCAAACAGGAAGUGUUAGCCAGAUUUAUGACGAGUUCUGUCCAAUCUUACUCUACCAAUUUAAGUCAAGGAAUUACACAAAAUUUGAGACAUUUGAUGCUUCCUUGGAUGAGUUCUACAGCAAAAUUGAGAGCCAAAGGUCUGAACAACAGCAGAAAGCCAAAGAAAACUCAGCUGCUCAGAAGCUGAAUAAAAUAAGCCAGGAUCAGGAAAAUCGAGUGCACACAUUGAGGAAAGAAGUUAAUUACUGUGUUAAAAUGGCAGAAUUGAUAGAGUACAACUUAGAAGAUGUGGAUGCUAUUAUAUUAGCUGUUUGUGUAGCUCUUGCAAAGGGUAUGAACUGGGAUGACCUUUCACGUAUGGUGAAAGAUGAAAAGAAAUCUGGAAACCCUGUUGCUAGUCUCAUUGACAAGCUCCAUCUUGAGAGGAACUGCAUGAUUUUAUUGUUGGCAAACAAUCUUGAUGAAAUGAAUGAUGAUGAGAAGACACUCCCUAUAGAUAAGGUUGAAGUUGAUUUAGCUCUCUCAGCUCAUGCCAAUGCUCGGAGGUGGUAUGAAUUGAAGAAAAAGCAAGAGAGCAAACAGGAAAAGACUAUAACUGCGCAUGAAAAGGCGUUUAAAGCUGCAGAGAAAAAGACUCGCCUACAGCUUAAUCAGGCUUUUUGGUUUUAAUGCUACGAAGAUGAGAAUGGAUGACAGGAUAAGUCUUAGCAUGAGUGAUCUGGAUCUUGUUCCACUUCUUAUCCAGAGGAGAUUACAUUUUUGACCGAGGGUGAUGAUCCUAACGAUGAUGAUGUUGUAUUAAAGAAGCUUUUUCACCCUAAUCUCAAGCUAUUAAUUGUGACACAAGGUUCAAAGAGUUGUAGAUAUUACACCAAGGUAAGCUUACUACCAAGUCCAUUUGAGAGUGAGUGGCAUAAGCACUUGUUUCAUUGUUGAUUGUGUGCGCAGAAAUUCAAAGGCCGGGUGACAGAUGUUAAAGUUAAUCUCAUUGAUACAACUGGGGCCGGUGAUGCAUUUGUUAAUGGAAUUCUCUACAGCAUUUGCUCAUAAUCAAUGUGGAGCUUGAUGCUGCCAAUACAAUUUAGUUAUCCAUUAAUAUUUUAGAUUGUCCCAUUUUAAGUGUUAAGUGUAAUGUUAAUGAAAGAGAUCCAUGUAACAUUAGGAUGAUCAUCUUAUUUUUUUGGGUAUCUUUUUAUUGAGAUAGUGAGAUAUUGGCCAAUGAUGUUGAAAAAUAACAUCCAAUU